This 72-nucleotide transfer RNA is filed under the name Aedes aegypti (yellow fever mosquito). RNAcentral's name for it is "partial tRNA-OTHER". Lineage: Eukaryota; Metazoa; Arthropoda; Insecta; Diptera; Culicidae. The record is from RNAcentral.
AUGCUCAGGUGGGAUUUGAAGCCACGACUCUUGUAUGCUAGACAAGGGCUCUACCAACAAAGCUAUCGUUCC